Sapajus apella (tufted capuchin) is the source of this 365-nucleotide long non-coding RNA. RefSeq lists it as uncharacterized. NCBI's taxonomy places the organism in Eukaryota, Metazoa, Chordata, Mammalia, Primates, Cebidae. The record is from RefSeq and is a predicted model, not a curated record. The transcript has 3 exons.
UAAAUGUCCUAAAGCAGCGGUCCCUAACUUUUUUGGCACCAGGGACCUGUUUCGUGGAGGACCAUUUUUCCACAGACAGGGGUUUGGGGGAAUGGUUUUGGGAUAAAAUUGUUCCACCUCAGAUAAUCAGGAAUUACAUUCUCAUAAGGAGUGUGCAACCCAGGUCCCUUGCACCCACAGUUCACAAUAGGGCUUGCACUCCUAUGAGAAUCUAAUGCUGCCACUGAUUUGACUGGAAGUGGGGCUCAGGCCAUAAUGCUCACUUCGGGCUGUGUGGCCCAGCCUGGUUCCUAACAGGACAUGGACCAGGGGUUGGAGACCCCUGAUUUAUCCUACAGAUCUAUUUGCAUGUGCAUGAAACAUGU